RNAcentral lists this long non-coding RNA (256 nucleotides) under Fukomys damarensis (Damara mole-rat). Its description in RNAcentral is "lncRNA (ENSFDAG00000027644.1)". Lineage: Eukaryota; Metazoa; Chordata; Mammalia; Rodentia; Bathyergidae. The record is from RNAcentral.
AUGGCAGAACAACGGAUGCACAGAUGACUGGAGUAGCCAUGAGAGAGAGGCUGUGCCUGGGGUCUGAAGUCUGAGCAUCAUCAAAGUCAGCCCCAGCAUGUUGGAGAAGAAAGCUGGCUUCACCUGGCCAUUUGGAUUAAUGUGUGUUUCUACAGGGCUUCCUAGUGUUCCUCCUGCUGUACACUUACAAGCAACUGGAAGAAAUAGCAGCUCCACUAUUAACAAAAGGGAAUUUAGUGUAUUAGUAACCCAGGAG